This 253-nucleotide ribosomal RNA is filed under the name uncultured Desulfocapsa sp. RNAcentral's name for it is "partial 16S ribosomal RNA". It matches the Rfam family "Bacterial small subunit ribosomal RNA", at positions 524 to 776 of the family's 1533-position model. The record is from RNAcentral. Lineage: Bacteria; Pseudomonadati; Thermodesulfobacteriota; Desulfobulbia; Desulfobulbales; Desulfocapsaceae.
UACGGAGGGUGCAAGCGUUGUUCGGAAUUACUGGGCGUAAAGCGCGCGUAGGCGGUUUGUUAAGUCAGAUGUGAAAGCCCAUGGCUCAACCAUGGACGUGCAUUUGAAACUGGCGGACUUGAGUAUUGGAGGGGGUGGUGGAAUUCCCGGUGUAGAGGUGAAAUUCGUAGAUAUCGGGAGGAAUACCGGUGGCGAAGGCGACCACCUGGCCAAAUACUGACGCUAAUGUGCGAAAGCGUGGGGAGCAAACAGG